Molecule: unclassified non-coding RNA, 362 nt
Filed under: Pouteria platyphylla
Lineage: Eukaryota; Viridiplantae; Streptophyta; Magnoliopsida; Ericales; Sapotaceae
Description: partial contains external transcribed spacer and 18S ribosomal RNA
Source: RNAcentral
UCCUGCGUUGCUUGCCUAACGUGACGGAAGUUGAUCCAGGAUGAUUUCCAAUUUUUGCCUCUCGCCACUUUGUGGUGUUAGGUCGACAUGGAAGUACUGCCCAUUGUCCUUGAAUGCCUUGCCCUUUUGCAUAGCAAUCAUGGCCCAUGGGUUUGUGCUAGUUCCCUCGGAUGCAGAACCUUUGGAGGAUGCACAGCAUGUUGCUGUUGUUUACCCACAAAGCGUUCAUGGCUCGGUGCGUACGACCACUGUGCCCGCCAAGGUCCCGUCUUUAACUAGUUUUGGACGGGUCUCAUGCGGUGUCGGCGUCGCAGAGGAAUGCUACCUGGUUGAUCCUGCCAGUAGUCAUAUGCUUGUCUCAA